UUUUUUCAUAUUGAUAUUCCAUUGCCCAUUGGCUUCCUCCUUGCAUUGAGUCGGUGUUCGAAUGGUUCCUUACUUCCUCCCCAAUCUGACCACAGCCACGAGUCGUCGUCGACGUCCUUGUUCGGUUGUUCCCUCUUUGGUAUCAUGGCACCCAGGUUUCCUCUAAAAUUUGGCCAUGAAGCAUCUGGAAAUUGGAUCGGGUCCUUUAUUCACGCAAGAAAUUCUUGAUUCCAAUGAAGACUUCCAAAAAUUUCAGCAAACUAAGCCAAGCUGUGGUGGAUACUGGAAAUUGAGAUCGACAUGCUGGGGUUAUGUUGUUACGAAAUUUAGCUAAAAGACGUGCAAUGUUGAAGAAGAUGUAUAAUGAAAAUUUUGGAAUUUUGAUAUAGAAGUUAGAAGAAGCUCUUUUCAAUAUUUCUGCAGCCUAAUUAAAAAAUUUCCCUUCUUUGCAACUUGAUGACUGGGUUUUGUGUAGGAUUUAUCAAACAGAAGAAAAAUUCGUUCCAAAUAAGCAACAAAAGAUCAGUGAGGAUUUUAAUUAAUUCUAACUACAAUUUCAAUUGUUAUGAUCUUGCAUCAGCAUGUUUUCCAUAUGAGAAUUCUGCUUUCAGGUCCAAGUACUUGGAACAAGAAAUGACCAGUAUGGAAUUUUAAGUGGAUGUUUUGGGAUUUUCGGCAAAUGCUCAGCUCCUACAGUCUCCAUUCUUUCGGCGUCGUCCCAUCCCCAGCAAUCGCCCAACUCUAGUACACUACUCGUGGGUAAAUAAUGAAGAAGAAAUCUUGAAUUCUGUGAAUGUGAAUAUGACGGUCCGUCGAGGAAAAUCACAUGUCAAAGGAAAAAUGAAAGGGACGGACAUGGCUUGAUUAGUGGGUUAUGUUGAACUAGUUAUAUUAUGUUAAAUAGAGGCAAGGUGAAAAUCUGAAUUUGGUAUUUUAGUGUACUGCAGUAAGUUGGUUGAUUUUGGUUGAAAUGAAUGACUUGCUUCAUGUACCUUGUAUCUUUCAUUAACAUUUGUUUAAUUAUAAUAACAAGAGUUUGGAGUUUCUUAAA
Olea europaea var. sylvestris is the source of this 1051-nucleotide long non-coding RNA. RefSeq lists it as uncharacterized. The transcript is spliced from 4 exons. The record is from RefSeq and is a predicted model, not a curated record. NCBI's taxonomy places the organism in Eukaryota, Viridiplantae, Streptophyta, Magnoliopsida, Lamiales, Oleaceae.